UAGAAGCCUUCUCCAGAUUUUGAAACGAGAGGGAGCCGCCAUUUUUCAGACGUUGGAUAACGGUAAAAGACAAACACUAUCUUGGUCAAUGUCAAGUUUGUGAACAGAAAUUCAUCAGCAUUUCCGAAGUCACAGUGAAAACCUUGGAGUUGGAAAAUGCCACCACGCUAUGUUCCAGACAUGUGUGCAAGAGGAAUCAUCAAUUUCUGUCCGUACCUGAGGAAUCCCCACACUACACUAAACAUGGCUUUGAGCAUAAUUGUGAUGCCCAGAAUGACCUCAGUUGGCGAAUCAAAACUGUUUGGCGAAAAUGCUACGAGAAGAGGAGACAGGGAGAAGAGAGAACAUUAUGGAGGCCCCACUGCACAAAGACUAGCUGCUGCCACUUAACAACUGUCUGACGAAGACUGUGCUGGUGGAAUUCCCCCGUUUUAAAGAUGUCAAGGGCCUGGUUGAGCUGGACUUAAUGGAGAUAUUUGGAGAGGACACUUCACCGAACGGCUCAGCUCCAGGCCCUCAUCGAAAUCUCUGAGGCUUCUGGCCAUGUAAGCAGUGAUGAUGAAGAGGUCGGGAUAGUGCCAUGGCCAGGAUCCUCCUCCUGUUUGUUUCCACUGUCAGCACAGGGCCGCAAACGUCCAGCGAAAAUGUCAGCAGCUGCAGCAUAGAAGCGCCUUGUGAUGUCUCAGAAGACAGGAACCAGUGUACAGCACCACCUGGACACGAUUGCUGAGAGCAGACAUCCCCACCUACCGGGACGAAGAAAAGUCAGGUUCACUGCUACUUCAUCAUACUAGACAUUGCUUGCCAUGCCGUGAGUGCUUUUGACAAACUGUUUAAAGCGGACUAUGUAUUUGCCACAUCCUACAACACCUCACUUUCCAAAAUGUACAUGUUCAACCAGACCUGGGUAGCACUUUCUUGUUGG
Engraulis encrasicolus (European anchovy) is the source of this 925-nucleotide long non-coding RNA. RefSeq lists it as uncharacterized. The transcript has 7 exons. The record is from RefSeq and is a predicted model, not a curated record. NCBI's taxonomy places the organism in Eukaryota, Metazoa, Chordata, Actinopteri, Clupeiformes, Engraulidae.